GAGCUUGGUCGUUUUCCUUUCUUGGUUCUGUUUGCAGACCAGGACACACAUCGUGGUGACUUGGUCAGCUCCUUGGUCAUCAUCUGGUCCAUCACCGAGGUAUGUAUUCACCAUUGACUUCACUCAUAUCAUACGCUCCUUGAAAGCUAGGGACUACAGUUGUUCAUAAUAAAUGUAUUAUCAAGCCGCGAGGCGCUCCUAUUGAUGUGCACACUAGCUCCAGAUGUGUCCCUCAAUUAAUGCAAAUGCGAGUAUGCGAUGACGAUUUUGACAUGUGUGUGUUGCUGCUUCAAAUUGAAUUUCUAGAUACUAAUGAGGAAUUUAACAAAGAAUUGUUAGAGGUUAAUUUACUAUACUUCACUAUUAUAUCAGGGGAGAUGUGGUUACAGCUUAAUUUACUAUGCUUCAAACUGUUUUCACGCUAUUGUAUGGUGCUUGCGAGACCUUGCCAUCUAAGGUUGCCCCAAAAUAACGGCUAGGCAACGCCUUAAACUAUGUGUUUGGUGAAACUAUUAAAUAGGAGAAUAUAGUGGAAACAUUGCAAUACCCACACACUUGUUCGGAAGUGUUUUGA
RNAcentral lists this long non-coding RNA (574 nucleotides) under Hordeum vulgare. RNAcentral's name for it is "long non-coding RNA (HVUL_LNC010545)". Lineage: Eukaryota; Viridiplantae; Streptophyta; Magnoliopsida; Poales; Poaceae. The record is from RNAcentral.